CUUUUGUGACCCAGUGGUGGACAAGGAAGACUGAUUUUUACAGGGCCAUAAAAAAAAGGUCACCCCCAUACAAAAAGGAUUGUCUUCGCCCCACGCGCUUUACAAGAGGACUGAGGAGGUGGCAUUUUGCUGUUACACCACCAGAGGGAGUCUGCUUCAAAAUGAGCAUGUUUAGCGGAGCGAAGCUAACCCUGUUCAUAAACCUAAAAACGUCCGUAUUUUACAGGAACAAAGAAAAAGCAAAUAAAAAGGUGGAAUAAAUAGGUGUCACAGACUGGAUACAGAUACGUGGAGGGAAGAGAAGCGACUUAGAGAUGAUUAAACAAGGGGAGAGAGAAAGAACAGGAGUCGAAGGACGGCGCGGUGGCAGAUGGAAGUGUUCUGCUCUGUUACUAAUGUUCCUCGGAAGAAUUAAAGUCCAGGAAGAGGUAUGCGCGGUGUAAAUGAGGAGAGAAUGAGGUCGAGCUGACGGAUGGAUGAGCGGAAAGCGGGAGAAAGACAGCGGCGACAAAGAAGGUUUGGUUGAAGGAGGGAGGACUGGCCGAGCUGAGGAAGUCUGAGCGCUAGAGAUGGAAAACCAGGGGGCAGGGACUGGCACAGCGUCCCCACCAUGACCCUCAUGUGGAGGAUAAAGUGGUAGACGAUGGAUGGAUUUCCUUGCUUCAUGAUUACACCGACAAACUUCCCAGCAUUCGUGUGAAACCUUGAGCUAAAUAGUGAAGCACUCGGACGAUUUGACGGCGUCCCGAGCCACCACUUAAACAUCCCUAUUCAUCUCAAACUAAAACCUGAGAGGGAAAUACCAACUUCAACUGCCAAGAGAACAAUUCGCAAAAGCCUUGGAAUGUCAGAUACCACUUGCCACUUACUGGUAAUAUAACACUUGCACGGAUGGAACUGGUGCUGAUGUCUCCCGCUGCCUGAUAUAAGAUGUCAUAACCUUGCAUCCUUGUGCGAAUAUUUCAGAACCAUCAAUCCAUUUGACCUUUUCUUUUUUGGGGACUCAGAUCCUUUCUCUCUAUUUCAUCUUCCUCGUCAAACAUUGCCGUGACAAUGAUUAUGUGUGUGUUUUUGAGUGAGAGAGAGAAAGAGAGAGAGACUGGAGAAGAAGAUGGAGAGAUUGAAAGAGGCCGCCCAUGAGUGCGUUCGCAUAAGAACCGGGGCCACCUGAGAGCAACGGAGCACAGAAUAGAGAAGAUGAGAGAAAAUGAAGAGACAAAAGCACUUCCCUGGUGUAAUUAUGCUUUCAUUUCAUGGCCAAGUAUCCACAUGAUGUGCCCUGCAUGCAGAGAUGCCCAUUAAAGUUACCGCACAUCAGAAGUAUAAGUGGCAUAUGUCUGUCGACGGCACGAGUGAAUGUAGACUAAUAACUGUGUGCAGGAGGCUUUUUUUUUUAUUUUACUUUAUUACAAAACAAAGAAUAUAAAGGUACUUUAUGGUACACUGACCACUUUAUUAAGCACAGCUGUUCAAAUUGUUAAUGCAUAUAACUUCAACGCUUGUCACAUGGCAGUGACAAGACAUGCGUGAUGACAAAUUUACUUACAACUGUUUUGUGUGCGACACACUCCUCUCUUUUUUGCCUCUUCGUGGAGCCGAUAUAUUUGGAUGGAAAUAUCCUGUCCCGUGACGCUCGUGAAGGCAAAGCACGGCAGCAAACAACAAAUCUUCUCAAAGCAUUACCACAAAUAAUAGCAAAGCUUAGGGCGAAUCAGCAGGACUUAAGCACUUUGGUGUGAAAUUUCCCUCCGCUGGUGAAACGGCAACAUCCUGAUGCUUGGAUCAAUGUUGCAACAAAUAAGGGUAACACAUCUGAGUGUGUGUGGUGUUGUCAUGCCCUACCGCACACACUUUUGAGGAGAAAUGGGAUGCUGAUGAAGGUAAAUGUGCAAACUCCUCAAGUCCUCUGCUAAUAUGGUAGAGAGAUUUUGGUUUAGUCCAUUGCUGUGAUCCAAGUUGGUCCUUAGAAAGUCUAACGGUGAAAAAAUAGUUGAUUACUACGUUUUAUCUGUGUGUAUCUUGCUGCUCCGCCCUGACCUCCUUUUAUCAGAUGGGCACUUGUUUCAUGCAUUUUUGUUGGAUGUUUAAACCAGGGGUCUCAAACUCAAAUGACCUGUGGGCCAAUGACUGUCUCGUCUGGUCAGUCGGGGGCCAGUCAAGUAAAAAAAAAAAAGCCUAACUUUUUUGGGAAAAGCAACAGUUGCGGUGGACGUUAUGAGCUCAAAAUUACAUAUCAAUAUGCCGUAUUAAUUCCUUUUUUCAUAUGUACUCUUGCCUCGUGUGAGCUUUUCUGUCUUUUAUCCAUUAUUCUGUACAGCACUUUGGUCCACUGUGUUUGUUUUGUGCUUUACAAAUAAAGUGCUUGUUUUAAUAUGCAACAAUAAAAAAAACAUUUAUGAUGCAAAAAUAAUCUAUUAAUUUCAAAAUAAAAAUAUAUAGAAAUGACUCGUUACAACUUGAUAUUGUUUGGAGGGCCACAUGAAAUCGUUUGGAGGGCCACAUGUGGCCCCCAGGCCGCCAGUUUGAGACCCCUGGUUUAAACUCUUUGUUGUAAUGGUUAUGUUUCUGUUUUAUUAAACCCCAAGUUUUUAUCCAUA
Solea solea (common sole) is the source of this 2597-nucleotide long non-coding RNA. RefSeq lists it as uncharacterized. The record is from RefSeq and is a predicted model, not a curated record. The transcript is spliced from 6 exons. Lineage: Eukaryota; Metazoa; Chordata; Actinopteri; Pleuronectiformes; Soleidae.